GACGGGCACAAUUCCAGUGGCGGACGUUCUCGCCGCUAAAGAACAGUUAAGACUAUCCGUGGGAUAAAAAUUCGGCGGAGGAUGUUCCUCGCCCUUCUUGCACCAUUCACCUCGAGCCUUGAACUCCGCCUGAAACAAGGGUGGACAUUUCAAGGCUCCUUUGUGGAGCCAAUUGUUCUGCAAUACCCUUAUCGCGAUUUCUUGACCGGAAUGGAAACACGUGAAUGUGUAGUUUCCAACCUGCGGGAGUAACGUUACGAAACAUAAAAAGGGAGCAGAGUGAUCAUCGGUUUCCUUGAUCCGAUGGAGAAAGAAUUAAAAAAAAAAAAAAUUCAACCCAGCUUACCACGAUGUGCAAUCUCCCAAGCUCGCAUUUGUACUGAUAGCAGCCGGACCCCCAAUGCUGCCACUGUCUCGCCUGCUUGCAAUUUCUCUCCUCCCACAUCUGAUCUGCGUUAUCAAAGCAUCUCGACUGAGGCCCGUACUUCUCGACGGCAAAAUUCUUGUCCAAGACUGAAAACGUCGAGUUACAAUAAAGCAAUGCGACCCUCUGACAACGAUGUUCCUCGCCUUCCACGUGAAUUCCUGGAUGUAAGGACAGUAGUCAGCCAAGGAUACGGAACCACCGUAGUAUUCUUCCCUACCCGAUGGAACGUGCGGUAUCGAGUCAAAGUUC
This 676-nucleotide long non-coding RNA is filed under the name Neodiprion lecontei (redheaded pine sawfly). RNAcentral's name for it is "uncharacterized LOC124295184". Lineage: Eukaryota; Metazoa; Arthropoda; Insecta; Hymenoptera; Diprionidae. The record is from RNAcentral.